This is a non-coding RNA of Paramuricea clavata, 380 nucleotides long. Lineage: Eukaryota; Metazoa; Cnidaria; Anthozoa; Malacalcyonacea; Plexauridae. The record is from the annotation of a GenBank genome assembly.
CCCAACCAUGGGCUUACCCUUCCCAAUCAUGGCAACCAUCAUGCUUCUUAACCAUCCCAACCAUGGGCUUACCCUUCCCAAUCAUGGCAACCAUCAUGCUUCUUAACCAUCCCAACCAUGGGCUUACCCUUCCCAAUCAUGGCAACCAUCAUGCUUCUUAACCAUCCCAACCAUGGGCUUACCCUUCCCAAUCAUGGCAACCAUCAUGCUUUUUAACCAUCCCAACAAUGGGCUUACCCUUCCCAAUCAUGGCAACCACCAUGCUUCUUAACCAUCCCAACCAUGGGCUUACCCUUCCCAAUCAUGGCAACCAUCAUGCUUCUUAAGCAUCCCAACCAUGGGCUUACCCUUCCCAAUCAUGGCAACCAUCAUGCUUCUUA